GAUGAACGCUGGCGGCGUGCUUAACACAUGCAAGUCGAACGAAGCACCCCUCCCGAAGCUUGACACAGCUUGCUGUAGAUUGUUUCAUUUGCGGUGACUGAGUGGCGGACGGGUGAGUAACGCGUGGGUAACCUGCCUCUUAGAGGGGGACAACAGUUGGACACGACUGCUAAUACCGCAUAGUAAGAAGAAUUCGCAUGUUUUCUUCUUGUUAGGUUUAUCGGUAUGAGAUGGAGCCGCGUCUGAUUAGCUAGUUGGUAAGGUAACGGCUUACCAAGGCGACGAUGAGUGGCCGGGUUGAGAGAGUGAACGGCCACAUUUGGACUGGGGCACGGCCCAAACUCCUACGGGAGGGAGGAGUGGAGAAUAUUGCGCAAUGGGGGAAACCCUGAUGCAGCGACGCCGGGUGAGUGAAGAAGUAGUUCGGUAUGUAAAGCUCUAUCAGCAGGGAAGAUAAUGACGGUACCUGACUAAGAAGCCCCGGCUAACUACGUG
This 495-nucleotide ribosomal RNA is filed under the name uncultured bacterium. RNAcentral's name for it is "partial 16S ribosomal RNA". It matches the Rfam family "Bacterial small subunit ribosomal RNA", at positions 28 to 507 of the family's 1533-position model. The record is from RNAcentral.